This 473-nucleotide ribosomal RNA is filed under the name uncultured bacterium. RNAcentral describes it as "bacterial SSU rRNA". It matches the Rfam family "Bacterial small subunit ribosomal RNA", at positions 355 to 825 of the family's 1533-position model. The record is from RNAcentral.
UGGGGAAUUGUUCACAAUGGGCGCAAGCCUGAUGACGCAACGCCGCGUGGGGGAUGAAGGUCUUCGGAUCGUAAACCCCUGUCGAAUGGGACGAAAGACUCGCGAGUGAAUACUUCGCGAGAGUGACGGUACCGUUAAAGGAAGCCACGGCUAACUCUGUGCCAGCAGCCGCGGUAAUACAGAGGUGGCAAGCGUUGUUCGGAAUUACUGGGCGUAAAGGGCGCGUAGGCGGCCCUCUAAGUCAGACGUGAAAUCCCCCGGCUUAACCUGGGAACUGCGUCUGAUACUGGAGGGCUUGAGUAUGGGAGAGGGAUGUAGAAUUCCAGGUGUAGCGGUGAAAUGCGUAGAUAUCUGGAGGAAUACCGGUGGCGAAGGCGGCAUCCUGGACCAUUACUGACGCUGAGGUGCGAAAGCGUGGGGAGCAAACAGGAUUAGAUACCCCCGUAGUCCCUGAGCGGGCUGGCAAGGCGCAU